GACGAACGCUGGCGGCGCGCUUAACACAUGCAAGUCGAACGGAAAGGCCUGCUUUCCCUUGUGGAUUGCGGGUACUCGAGUGGCGAACGGGUGAGUAACACGUGAGUGAUCUGCCCCCAACUUGGGUAUAAGCCUGGGAAACUGGGUCUAAUUCCCGAUAGGACUGCAGGGUGGUGCCUGUGGUUGAAAACGAUUUUCUAGUGGUUGGGGAUGAGCUCGCGGCCUAUCAGCUUGUUGGUGGGGUAAUGGCCUACCAAGGCGGCGACGGGUAGCCGGCCUGAGAGGGUGGACGGGCAAAUUGGGACUGAGAUACGGCCCAGACUCCUACGGGAGGAAGCAGUGGGGAAUAUUGAACAAUGGGCGGAAGCCUGAUGCAGCGACGCCGCGUGGGGGAUGACGGCCUUCGGGUUGUAAACUCCUUUCGACCGAGAGGAAGCCACCUGGUUGGAAGGGUGGUGACGGUAGUGGUAGAAGAAGCACCGGCUAACUACGUG
RNAcentral lists this ribosomal RNA (494 nucleotides) under uncultured bacterium. RNAcentral describes it as "partial 16S ribosomal RNA". It matches the Rfam family "Bacterial small subunit ribosomal RNA", at positions 28 to 507 of the family's 1533-position model. The record is from RNAcentral.